GCGGAAAUAGCGCAAUGGUAGCGCGUCACCUUGCCAAGGUGGAUGUUGCGGGUUCGAAUCCCGUUUUCCGCU
Molecule: transfer RNA, 72 nt
Filed under: Treponema sp.
Lineage: Bacteria; Pseudomonadati; Spirochaetota; Spirochaetia; Treponematales; Treponemataceae
Description: tRNA-Gly
Rfam family: tRNA
About the family: Transfer RNA (tRNA) molecules are approximately 80 nucleotides in length.
Source: RNAcentral